This 1159-nucleotide long non-coding RNA is filed under the name Homo sapiens (human). RNAcentral's name for it is "non-protein coding lnc-PINK1-3:1". The record is from RNAcentral. Lineage: Eukaryota; Metazoa; Chordata; Mammalia; Primates; Hominidae.
AGUCUGGAGCCCACUUCCCUCUGGAGCUUGCGGGGUCCUCCCCGGGCUUGACCGUCGCGUCCUGGACAGGGUUAAUACAGAGGCCACCCGGUUCAUCUCAGACCUGCCUUUGUCCACCAGGGGUUUAAGUAAAAACUACCACAAGCAGCAAGACUUCCACCGUCCUCUGGGUCCCAACCACAAUCCUGAGGCCAAUGGUGACGGCAACUGUAGAGACAGAAGGUAGCAGUUCCUUUCGGACACUUGUCCACCAACCCAAGAAUGGAGCAAAAAUCAAAACCUCCCUCCAUACAUCUUCUUAACGGACUCUACUUCCUCUCCAUUCCCACUGGCUCUGCCCCAAGUUAAGCCUCUGCAGAGCUCCUGGCUCCUGCACCCUAACUCCUGCCCUUCCACCCUCGACACACAGUACCACAUCCGCCCGCCUCUAAUUCAGAGCCAACAGUGUUAAACUGUUAAGAGUCGGCCACGGCACAGGGACACCCCAAGGCUCUUUGCUCUCAGGUCUCCACCUACACUCAUCUCAGCAGCCUCGUCCCCUCUCAGUCCUUGCUCAGGGCUUCCAUGGAACAGGAAUGGCCCAGCCUUUAACACCCUGAGUUCCACACCUCCUGCCUUUUGCUUUGCAGCGCUCUCCGCCAGGAGCGCCCUCCUUACACCCCCAUCUUAAACCUCCUGGGAUCUUCUCCAUCCUUUCUGGGAGCCCCACCCAGCACUGCUCCCUUCAGAAAGGCACUCUUUGUUCCCCAUAAAGACCUGAUAUCGACCAGGCGCGGUGGCUCACACCUGUAAUCCCAGCACUUUGGCAGGCCGAGGUGGGCAGAUCACUUGAGGUCAGGAGUUCGUGACCAGCCUGGCCAACAUGGUGAAACCGCAUCUCUAAUACAAAAAAUUUAGCCGGGCGUGGUGGUGGGCGCCUGUAAUCCCAGCUACUCAUGAGUCUGAGACAGGAGAAUCGCUUGAACCCAGGAGGUGGAGGCUUCAGUGAGCUGAGAUUGCCCGCUGCUGCACUCCAGCCUGGGUGACAGAGCGAGACUCAGUCUCAAAGAAAAUAAAAAUAAUUUUUAAAAGACCUGAUCUCACCGGCUCUGACUCAGGACGUACUGCUGCCUGCCUCUGGCUGGAUAUCUCUGUAGUUGUCUAAACACCCCCACCCCAG